This 497-nucleotide ribosomal RNA is filed under the name uncultured bacterium. RNAcentral's name for it is "partial 16S ribosomal RNA". It matches the Rfam family "Bacterial small subunit ribosomal RNA", at positions 28 to 507 of the family's 1533-position model. The record is from RNAcentral.
GAUGAACGCUGGCGGCGUGCCUAAUACAUGCAAGUCGAGCGAACGGACGAGAAGCUUGCUUCUCUGAUGUUAGCGGCGGACGGGUGAGUAACACGUGGAUAACCUACCUAUAAGACUGGGAUAACUUCGGGAAACCGGAGCUAAUACCGGAUAAUAUUUUGAACCGCAUGGUUCAAAAGUGAAAGACGGUCUUGCUGUCACUUAUAGAUGGAUCCGCGCUGCAUUAGCUAGUUGGUAAGGUAACGGCUUACCAAGGCAACGAUGCAUAGCCGACCUGAGAGGGUGAUCGGCCACACUGGAACUGAGACACGGUCCAGACUCCUACGGGAGGCAGCAGUAGGGAAUCUUCCGCAAUGGGCGAAAGCCUGACGGAGCAACGCCGCGUGAGUGAUGAAGGUCUUCGGAUCGUAAAACUCUGUUAUUAGGGAAGAACAUAUGUGUAAGUAACUGUGCACAUCUUGACGGUACCUAAUCCGAAAGCCACGGCUAACUACGUG